Molecule: small RNA, 292 nt
Filed under: Drosophila mojavensis
Lineage: Eukaryota; Metazoa; Arthropoda; Insecta; Diptera; Drosophilidae
Description: GI26055
Source: RNAcentral
UGCAAAUUGAGGAGUCGGUUUGUGCAAGUUAAGGAGUCGAUUAAGCGUGCCCGGGAAGGCGUUUUGUUUGUUUGCGUGGCCAAUAUCGGGGUAUGGAGUGGCGUUUAAAUUCAUAAGUGAAGACAAUCAAACUGUUUUCAACCUGCAUGUGUGGAAUCACAUACACAAUUGCACCAUGCUUUUAUCUCCUCUUUCUUAUUGGCUGCCCAGCAGCUAUAAGGGGAGGGGAUAAGGGAGCAAGGUGACUCUUUAUUCCGCAGUGCCGUUCAUAUGGCUCUUUUUCGAAAUGUAC